This 617-nucleotide ribosomal RNA is filed under the name Vibrio vulnificus. RNAcentral describes it as "partial 23S ribosomal RNA". It matches the Rfam family "Bacterial large subunit ribosomal RNA", at positions 1 to 673 of the family's 2925-position model. The record is from RNAcentral. Lineage: Bacteria; Pseudomonadati; Pseudomonadota; Gammaproteobacteria; Vibrionales; Vibrionaceae.
GUUAAGUGACUAAGCGUACACGGUGGAUGCCUUGGCAGUCAGAGGCGAUGAAGGACGUAGUAACUUGCGAUAAGCGUAGAUGAGGCAGUAACAGCCACUUGAGUCUACGAUUUCCGAAUGGGGAAACCCACUGGCAUAAGCCAGUAUCAUUGAGUGAAUACAUAGCUCAAUGAAGCGAACCGGGAGAACUGAAACAUCUAAGUACCCCGAGGAAAAGAAAUCAACCGAGAUUCCGAAAGUAGCGGCGAGCGAAAUUGGAUUAGCCCUUAAGCUUUACAUGUGUUAGACGAACGGUCUGGAAAGUCCGACGAUACAGGGUGAUAGUCCCGUAGUUGACGAUGCAUGUUCAGUGAAAUCGAGUAGGGCGGGACACGUGUUAUCCUGUCUGAAUAUGGGGGGACCAUCCUCCAAGGCUAAAUACUCCUGACUGACCGAUAGUGAACCAGUACCGUGAGGGAAAGGCGAAAAGAACCCCUGUGAGGGGAGUGAAAUAGAACCUGAAACCGUGUACGUACAAGCAGUAGGAGCACCUUCGUGGUGUGACUGCGUACCUUUUGUAUAAUGGGUCAGCGACUUAUAUUCAGUGGCAAGGUUAACCAUCUAGGGGAGCCGUAGGG